CUGCAGCCACUUAAGCUGAUCAUGCUCUUCUGCUCCUGGAGCCCCUGGUGUGCAGUGACUAUAAACAGUAGCCUCUUUGGUUAUAUAUGCAGCCUGUUGUUUCUCUGGUUGCCCUAAGGGACUUGGGCACGGUC
Small nucleolar RNA from Sorex fumeus (smoky shrew), 134 nucleotides. RefSeq annotates it as small nucleolar RNA SNORA70. The transcript has a single exon. The record is from RefSeq and is a predicted model, not a curated record. Lineage: Eukaryota; Metazoa; Chordata; Mammalia; Eulipotyphla; Soricidae.